GAUGAAGAACGUAGUGAAAUGCGAUAAGUAAUGUGAAUUGCAGAAUUCAGUGAAUCAUCGAAUCUUUGAACGCACAUUGUGCCCGCCAGCAUUCUGGCGGGCAUGCCUGUUCGAGCGUCAUUUCAACCCUCGAGCCCCCCCGGGGGCCUCGGUGUUGGGGGACGGCACACCAGCCGCCCCCGAAAUGCAGUGGCGACCCCGCCGCAGCCUCCCCUGCGUAGUAGCACACACCUCGCACCGGAGCGCGGAGGCGGUCACGCCGUAAAACGCCCAACUUUCUUAGAGUUGACCUCGGAUCAGGUAGGAAUACCCGCUGAACUUAAGCAUAUCAAUAAGCGGAGGA
Molecule: unclassified non-coding RNA, 343 nt
Filed under: soil metagenome
Description: partial contains 5.8S ribosomal RNA, internal transcribed spacer 2, and large subunit ribosomal RNA
Rfam family: 5.8S ribosomal RNA (bases 1-120)
Source: RNAcentral